UACCAGCACCCCGAGUGGGCGGGACGAUUAUUGGGCCUAAAGCAUCCGUAGCCGGCCUUACAAGUCCUCCGUUAAAUCCAGCUGCUUAACAGAUGGGCUGCGGAGGAUACUAUAAGACUAGGAGGCAGGAGAGGCAAGCGGUACUCAGUGGGUAGGGGUAAAAUCCGUUGAUCCAUUGAAGACCACCAGUGGCGAAGGCGGCUUGCCAGAAUGCGCUCGACGGUGAGGGAUGAAAGCUGGGGGAGCAAACCGG
This 253-nucleotide ribosomal RNA is filed under the name uncultured bacterium. RNAcentral describes it as "partial 16S ribosomal RNA". It matches the Rfam family "Archaeal small subunit ribosomal RNA", at positions 474 to 727 of the family's 1478-position model. The record is from RNAcentral.